UACGUAGGCAGCGAGCGUUGUUCGGAGUUACUGGGCGUAAAGGGUGUGUAGGCGGUUCUUUAAGUUUGGUGUGAAAUCUCCCGGCUCAACCGGGAGGGUGCGCCGAAAACUGGGGGACUAGAGUGCGGGAUGGGAGAGUAGAAUUCCUGGUGUAGCGGUGAAAUGCGCAGAUAUCAGGAGGAACACCAAUUGCGAAGGCAGCUCGCUGGGACGUUACUGACGCUGAGACGCGAAAGCGUGGGGAGCAAACAGG
RNAcentral lists this ribosomal RNA (253 nucleotides) under uncultured bacterium. RNAcentral describes it as "partial 16S ribosomal RNA". It matches the Rfam family "Bacterial small subunit ribosomal RNA", at positions 524 to 776 of the family's 1533-position model. The record is from RNAcentral.